Molecule: ribosomal RNA, 492 nt
Filed under: uncultured bacterium
Lineage: Bacteria
Description: partial 16S ribosomal RNA
Rfam family: Bacterial small subunit ribosomal RNA
Source: RNAcentral
AGUGAACGCUGGCGGUAGGCCUAACACAUGCAAGUCGAACGGCAGCACAGUAAGAGCUUGCUCUUACGGGUGGCGAGUGGCGGACGGGUGAGGAAUACAUCGGAAUCUACUUUUUCGUGGGGGAUAACGUAGGGAAACUUACGCUAAUACCGCAUACGACCUACGGGUGAAAGCAGGGGAUCUUCGGACCUUGCGCGAUUGAAUGCGCCGAUGUCGGAUUAGCUAGUUGGCGGGGUAAAGGCCCACCCAGGCGCCGCUCCGUAGCCGGGCUGAGAGGCUGAUCAGCCACACUGGAGCUGAGACACGGUCCAGACUCCUACGGGAGGCAGCAGUGGGGAAUAUUGGACAAUGGGCGCAAGCCUGAUGCAGCCAUAGCGCGUGGGUGAAGAAGGCCUUCGGGUUGUAAAGCCCUUUUGUUGGGAAAGAAAAGCAGCAGGUUAAUACCCCGCUGUUCUGACGGUACCCAAAGAAUAAGCACCGGCUAACUUCGUG